This 795-nucleotide long non-coding RNA is filed under the name Prunus persica (peach). RNAcentral's name for it is "long non-coding RNA (PPER_LNC004539)". The record is from RNAcentral. Lineage: Eukaryota; Viridiplantae; Streptophyta; Magnoliopsida; Rosales; Rosaceae.
CUUAAUCAAGUACAACAAAACUCUGACCAACAUAAGGCUCUAUAUUUUAUAGGUUGAUGCUAAAAAAAAAAACAGAAGUGAAAGUUCAUGAUUUCUAAGGUUGGAAUCAUUCAAACAUGAUCUUUUGGCCUAAUAUUAAUAGCAUUACUUUCGACCAAAAAAAAUAUUCUAAAAAAAUUAGGAGCAUUAACAAGCCAAGUGUAAGUAACAUGUAGACAAACUGAAACACAGAUUAAAGCAUGUAAUGCCCUUUGCGAAGAGAAAAAGAAAAAGUGACAAAAUAGAUGACAAUCAGAAGUGAAACCCAAGGAGGGAAGGAAGGGCCAUUAGGCUCUGCAGGCAUGAAUUUAAUAUCCUCUUGGUACCAAAAGCCCAAAGAAGAAAACCAAAGGCCCAAACAAGAGAAUCCAUAACAAAUCGAUCAAAGAGUUAAAGGAGGACUUUGAAGAUCGGCCCCAUGACCCUUUUCAUUUCCUUUGAACAGAAUGUCACUUAAUGAGCCAUGAUUACCCUUUGAAUAGUUUAUUGGAGCAUAAAAUUCCAGCAAGAUCGAAGUGAUAAUAGGCAGAGGUUUCCUGGCAAUGGCAUGGCGUGUACCUAGAAUUUGUCAUGCCAUUUCACACCUUUCAUUUCAUGGGGCCAUAUCUUUUUAAAAGACACAAAUAAAGCUGCCACUAGUUGGAUUGUUUUUGUUACUUUCUCCCUUUUUUAUCUUAAAGAAAGAAAAAAAAAAAACACAUAAUGAUUUCAUUUGCUUGACUCAAAAUAAUUGCCUUUUAAGUCAAUGGAUGCGCU